Long non-coding RNA from Gasterosteus aculeatus aculeatus (three-spined stickleback), 3826 nucleotides. The record is from Ensembl. Lineage: Eukaryota; Metazoa; Chordata; Actinopteri; Perciformes; Gasterosteidae.
CGGGGGGGCGAUCCGCUCUCUACUUCCUGGAAGCACGGGGGGGCGAUCCGCUCUCUACUUCCUGGAAGCACGGCGGUCGAUCCGCUCUCUACUUCCCGGAAGCACGGGGGGGCGAUCCGCUCUCUACUUUCCGGAAGCACGGGGGGGCGAUCCGCUCUCUACUUCCCGGAAGCACGGGGGGGGCGAUCCGCUCUCUACUUCCCGGAAGCACGGGGGGUCGAUCCGCUCUCUACUUCCCGGAAGCACGGGGGGGCGAUCCGCUCUCGACUUCCUGGAAGCACGGGGGGUCGAUCCGCUCUCGACUUCCCGGAGGGUCGAUCUGGACGCCUAAAGGUGACCUUGUAGGUCAACAUUGGUGAUACAGACGAAAUGAAAAGCGCCCGUUGUUGAGCAUUGAGACACUACGGAGACACAGCAUGUGGACAGACUGAGAGCUGCUGACUCUUUACUGAUUGACUUCUCUUCUCUGUUCGAUUUUGCAGCUUCGUCUCUCUGGACUGACACGCUUCAUGACCGACUGCGUUGGUGAAAUACUGGCUGGUGAUGUGACGGGUUUCUGUGUUCUGAUUGGACAGCGUUGCCUCGUUUUAUUUAUUUAGAGGAGAGACUUGUUUAUGAUCAGACAGUUUACAGUUUCAGUUUAAAUCACAGACACAGAAACAAGCAGCUGUUUUUAUUAAAACACUCAAAGUUCAAAAUCUAAAAAUGAAACCAUCUUUGUUUUAUAAUUUAUUUCACUAAUUUGAAUUUAUUGAAAUUUGAAAAUUUUCUUUUUAGCAAUGGUGACUCGAUGUUUACAAGCUCUAAUCUCUUUACCUCAACAGAAGAAUACCUGCAGAUGUUCAGGGUUUAAAUAACCCAACAUCAGACCCGUCUCAACCCACUAAUUCAUUAUAAUGAUUUCUGCUCCGCCUAAAAACGCAGCUAAAUAAUUGUAUUCGUAUUGACCAUUGCAGCGGCUUCAUUCUGUGACUCGGAGGUCUUCACAGAAUAACUGGAUGGAACCGGACUGAGGAGCCUUCAGCGACUCUCUUGAGCUUCUAGUUUUCUUUUUAAAACCAAAGAUUUCAAGCUUGUGUGAGGUGACGGUUUGAGGUGUUGGAAUCUGAUCCAUUUUUGCAUGAAUCUCUGCCAUUAACUUAUAAAAUGCUCCCCUACCUGCUCUCGCACUGAUAAUCGUUAAGUAGUAUAAUCUCUAAUCAGUAUAUUGAUCGUAUUAUUGCACCCGAUCCAUUUGAAUUCAAAGCUGAGACCAGACGUCUGCAGCAGUAUUGACUUAUGUCUCUAAUUUGUUACAUUUUAGUUCAGUGACGUCGUUCCUCCACAGAUUAAAUAUUUAUAGAGGCGGGAAAAUGGUUCUUUUUGAUUAAUCAAUUCAUUGUUCUAUAAAAUGUACCGCCGUAGUUUCACAGUUUGACUCUUUUCAGAUAUUUAGUUCCCCCCCAAAAAAGAAGCCAAAUUUCUCAUUUCCGAAGAGAUGUUUUACUUGAUAGAUCACAUUAUUAUUAUUAUUGUGGUCAUUGUUAAUAAUCAAAUUAUUUUGUAUACACAGGAAACUCAUGUUCAUAACAUACUAAAGAGCUUAUUCAGGUCUGAUCUAAAACUCAACUGUUCGUAUGAACGUUUGAGUUGAACUAAGAACUGGCAGCCAUAAGAAAUAAAUAUUCCUCUUAAUAGGCAUUCAAAUUGAAACGCGUCGGAAAGAAAGACGUUCUGCAACAUGUACCCAGCGGUAUUUUGAUGAAUUGAAUAUUCAUGUUCUACAUCACAUUGUUUUUUCUGGGCUUGAUUUUCUUGCAGUGUUACCAUUUUAAACUCGACCUUCCCUAUUAUCACAGCCGCAUUGAAAGUUGUCUAAAUGCUUUUAUUGUGAAGCUGCAUCGGUAGGAAAUAUUUUAUUUUGUCAAUACGUUCCCUCCUCCAGCAACAGAUACAGCUGUUUUAUUAACAUUUAAUUGUCUGAGAUUGUGGCCUGAAACUUAAACAUUUUAUUUUCACGGGACCUCAGAGUCACUUUGCGUCAUCCAACAACUCGUCGCUGACUUAAUGUUUUUGGGAUUAUUCAAGCAGAGUCAGAGUUAAAUAGUCUGUCCAAGUGUCUGCAUGCUGCACUAAUCGAUAGUCUGCACACAGGAAGCGUGUGCACGAGGACCGCCAUCCACUGGUGCGGGUUUGGUGUCUUCUGUCAGCUAGUAUUCAAUAAUCAGAAGGGAACGCCUCGUUUCUAAAUGGACUUUUAUAGCAGCAGGUUGGAAACGACGGGAUGAAUGUUUGGGAUUAUUUCAGUCAGAAAAAGGUUUUAUUUUUCUAAUGCUUUUGUUUUGGUGGGUAACUCAUUCUGCAGCAUUUCCUCACAAAUAAUAUGACCCAUUGAAUAUUAAAUCAACAUUUAAUGAUCACACACUGGCUCCUUUUGCCUUUUUUCUCCUCCUACAUUUUGCCCGAAAGGGUUUUGAAUGUAAAUAAUGUGUGUGUGUUCCAGGCCGAGGGGGGAGGCUGUAUCUAGUCCAGCAGGUGGCGCUGGUCCCUGAGGUUUACUGCGUGAAGAGGAGCAGCCGUCGGGUGUCUCUGCCUCCGUUCAAGUCAAACAGGAAGUUGUCCUCAGUUCUCCGUCAGACUCUCCUCCACCUCCACCAGGCCCUGCAGGUACUUGAUGUACCUGAUGGCGGCCCUCAGCGUCUCCACCUUGCUGAGGCGCUUGUCGGCGCUCUGACCCGGCAGGUGGUCCCUGAGUUUGGCGUAGCCUUGGUUCACGCACCUCACCCUCUGCCCGCUCGCGCUCGUUGCGCUUUUGGAUGAAGGCCGGCUCGAAGGGACACUCGUACACGCUGAAGUGGCCGCGGUGGUGGAAGGGGGCCAGGUAGGGCAGCAGCCCGGGGCCCCUCAGAGGGUCCAUGCCCGAAGGGUAGAGGAGGAAGGGCACGGAGCGAUCCUCCCGGUGGCCGGAGGGGGGAGACACGCCGAAGCUCAGAUGCUGCUGCAGUGUUUCCUCCGGUCUGAGGCAGCAGGAUGAAACACUGAAGCUUUACCUGGCUUUACUCGCUGAAGCUCCGCCCCCCCCAGGUGUGAGGCAGGACCGAACACGCCACGUGUAUAAAAGGUUGGAUUCUCUGAGUUAAAUGAUCGAUCGCUGAACACCGUGUGACGAUGCAGGAGCAGAACCGACCCGUCCUUGUUGGUUCCCUGUCUGCGUGUUUCUCUUCAGCUUCAGGUGUGAGUCUGAACCUGAAGCCGGAAACACAUUCGCUGCAACAGUCGACCGCGAGACAUCAAAGAGCAUCGCGGGACAGAAAUGAGUGUUUGCAGUUUCCUCUUCCUAAAUCCUGCGUUUCCAGAUGAAAGACAUGAGCGACACACUCCCUUCCUGUCAGCCUCUCAUCACACAACGCACACUGAUGACUGUUUACACACACGCACACGUAACCUGAGAGUUACCGGUUCAUACUCAAAGGUCUUCAUACACAUUUACUGAACUUAUUUAUGUACUUAAUUGUCCAGUGAAUAAACAACAACUGUAGUAAUAUAAUGAUAUACUUUAUGUAUGGAGCAUUUUUCUGGACCAUGUAAGUGAAUGAAUCUUUAUUUAUGAUCACUCCAUUCCUUCAAUCCCCUUUUUUCCUACAAUAUCAUUUCCACGUUGUGCACAUUAUCGUCGAUGUGUGACAAACACCUCGGAAUCCCGAUGUCCGCCGAGGACAGACGCGUCUCCGGGUGGAACGUGAGUGGAGGACAUCGGCGUCGCAGACGGCACCUCAGAGCGUGGACCUUCACCUCAGCGCCGCCCCCCACAGCUGGUUUUGGGGAUCAGACCCCCCAGCAGGGGGGC